RNAcentral lists this ribosomal RNA (313 nucleotides) under uncultured bacterium. RNAcentral's name for it is "partial 16S ribosomal RNA". It matches the Rfam family "Bacterial small subunit ribosomal RNA", at positions 355 to 661 of the family's 1533-position model. The record is from RNAcentral.
UAGGGAAUCUUCCACAAUGGACGCAAGUCUGAUGGAGCAACGCCGCGUGAGUGAAGAAGGUUUUCGGACCGUAAAGCUCUGUUGUUGGUGAAGAAGGAUAGAGGUAGUAACUGGCCUUUAUUUGACGGUAAUCAACCAGAAAGUCACGGCUAACUACGUGCCAGCAGCCGCGGUAAUACGUAGGUGGCAAGCGUUGUCCGGAUUUAUUGGGCGUAAAGCGAGCGCAGGCGGAAGAAUAAGUCUGAUGUGAAAGCCCUCGGCUUAACCGAGGAAUUGCAUCGGAAACUGUUUUCUUGAGUGCAGAAGAGGAGAG